Molecule: transfer RNA, 72 nt
Filed under: Aphelocheirus ellipsoideus
Lineage: Eukaryota; Metazoa; Arthropoda; Insecta; Hemiptera; Aphelocheiridae
Description: tRNA-Lys
Source: RNAcentral
CAUUAAGUGGCUGAAAGAUAAGUAAUGGUCUCUUAAACCAAUUUAUAGUAAAUUAACGAAUACUCUUAAUGA